RNAcentral lists this ribosomal RNA (254 nucleotides) under uncultured bacterium. RNAcentral describes it as "partial 16S ribosomal RNA". It matches the Rfam family "Bacterial small subunit ribosomal RNA", at positions 524 to 776 of the family's 1533-position model. The record is from RNAcentral.
UACGUAGGGACCGAGCGUUGUCCGGAAUCAUUGGGCGUAAAGAGCGUGUAGGCGGCCAACUAAGUCCUGCGUGAAAUCUCGGGGCUCAACCCCGAGCGGUCGUGGGAAACUGGUUGGCUAGAGUGCGGGAGAGGAGAGUGGAAUUCCUGGUGUAGCGGUGAAAUGCGCAGAUAUCGGGAAGAACACCCGUGGCGAAGGCGGCUCUCUGGGACGGUACUGACGCUGAGACGCGAAAGCGUGGGGGAGCGAACAGG